AAACCUUCUCCCUUUUUCUGAAACAAUAGCAUAACAUCACAACAUAGAAAAACAUACGAUAAAAUAUCAAUUGGCAGGCUUAACUCAAUAAAAAAACGCACAUUAAUACACUAUAAACGAAUAAAUUUGAUCUGCGAUAUCUGAAUGCAAAUGCACAGUUAAUAAAAUAUUAGGGACAAACAUUCAAGGCCAAAAAGCAAACAAACAAGUCCAAAC
RNAcentral lists this long non-coding RNA (216 nucleotides) under Mytilus galloprovincialis (Mediterranean mussel). Lineage: Eukaryota; Metazoa; Mollusca; Bivalvia; Mytilida; Mytilidae. The record is from RNAcentral.